RNAcentral lists this long non-coding RNA (766 nucleotides) under Glycine max (soybean). RNAcentral's name for it is "long non-coding RNA (GMAX_LNC003630)". The record is from RNAcentral. Lineage: Eukaryota; Viridiplantae; Streptophyta; Magnoliopsida; Fabales; Fabaceae.
UUUGAACUUGGUCACCUGGAAUAUAUAUAGAGUUGACACUUUCAAAACUGCAAUGAUCAAUUCAAAGUGAGGGGCCAUCUCUUCAAUCAUUUUCAGUCUUGUAGGUAAGAAGGAAUUCAUUGUUUAUCAUAAGUAUAGGGAAAAAGGAUAAGUGAUUAAGAGAUGAUGUGAUGGUAGAGUACUGAUACAGAAAUAGAUUAUUAUUAUUAAUAUUGUCAUACAUUUAGCUUCUCUUACAUCUUAAUUUCACCCCAAAAAUUAAGUGAAAAAUUUUCCCUCAGAUAUAGUAAGUCAAGUACUUGCAAAAUGGAUAAACUGGCUAUUAGCAUGAAAAGAUAAAGUUGUACUCUUUUGAUAAACAUUCACAAACCAAAACCAAUUUUUAGUCAGGGAUACUAGCACCCCCUUCGUUUCUUUUCUUUUCUUUUCUAUUUUUAAUUAAUAUCACCGCUUCAGUUUACCUCAACAAAAAUGUUUUGCUGCUAACCUUAUAAGUGGCAUUCAAAAUAGCUGCUAGAUGACAUAUUUUUAAUUUAUAAAAAUUCCUACAAAGAGGUUGAUAAAUGCUAGAUAACAUAUCUCUAGUCUCUAGUCACUACACUUGUGAACUGAAGUAUUUGCUUUUUAAACACCUCAGGGUUAUGUAUCACAAAACAAACUCCUCAGCGAAUUUAAAAAACAAGAUACAAGAAAAAGUCAUAAAACUUACCUGAGCAACCAAAGGAGGCAUCUGAAGAAUGUGUUUUGCUUCAGGAAUGUCAUAAAC